CCCAUAGGACUAUAUCUAUACUAUAUAUAUAAUGGAUAUAUACUGAGCCCACCCCAUAGGGCAGGGUCUAUACUAUAUAUAUAUAUACUGGAUCUAUACUGAGCCCACCCCAUAGGACUAUAUCUAUACUAUAUAUAUACUGGAUCUAUACUGAGCCCACCCCAUAGGGCUGGAUCUAUACUGAGCCCACCCCAUAGGGCAGGAUCUAUACUAUAUAUAUACUGGGUCUAUACUGAGCCCACCCCAUAGGGCUGGAUCUAUACUAUAUAUAUACUGGAUCUAUACUGAGCCCAUCCCAUAGGGCAGGGUCUACACUGAGCCCACCCCAUAGGGCAGGGUCUAUACUGAGCCCACCCCAUAGGGCUGGAUCUAUAUCAUAUAUAUAUACUGGAUCUAUACUGAGCCCACCCCAUAGAGCUGGGUCUAUUCUGAGCCCACCCCAUAGGGCUGUGUCUAUACUAUAUAUAUAUACUGGAUCUAUACUGAGCCCACCCCAUAGGGCUGGAUCUAUACUGAGCCCACCCCAUAGAGCUGGAUCUAUACUAUAUAUAUACAGGAUCUAUAUUGAGCCCACCCCAUAGGGCUGGGUCUAUAGUAUAUAUAUACUGGAUCUAUUCUGAGCCCACCCCAUAGGGCUGGAUCUAUACUGAGCCCACCCCAUAGGGCAGGAUCUAUACUAUAUAUAUAUAUACUGGAUCUAUACUGAGCCCUCCCCAUAGGGCUGGAUCUACACCGAGCCCACCCCAUAGGGCAGCAUCUAUACUGAGCCCACCCCAUAGGGCUGGGUCUAUACUCUCUAUAUACUGGAUCUAUACUCUCUAUACUGUAUCUAUACUCUAUAUCUAUACUGUAUCUAUAUUCUCCAUACUGGAUCUAUACUCUAUACCUAUAGUGGGUCUGUGCUCUGUGUGCAGUGACGUUGCGGUGGAGCUGCCCUUCACUUUGAUGCACCCCAAACCCCGAGAGGAGCCGACGCACCGUGACGUUCCAGAGAACGAAGCUCCCAUAGACACGAACCCUGAUAGAGCUCGACACAAAGUAAGACCCCCCCCCUCACCCCAUUUACCCCACCCCAGUAGCCUCCAUGUCCCCACCCCAUAGCGCCUCCCUCCGCCCCAUAGCUCCAUCCCGCACCCCAUAGCUCCAUCCCUGCCCCAUAGCUCCAUCCCCCCACCAUUACCCCCCCUCACCCCAUUACCCACCCCAUAGCUCCAUCCCCGCCCCAUAGCCCAUAGCCCCACCCCAUAGCUCCAUCCCCACCCCAUAGCUCCAUCCCCGCCCCAUAGCUCCAUCCCCACCCCAUAGCUCCAUCCCCACCCCAUAAGCUCCAUCCCCACCCCAUAGCUCCAUCCCCGCCCAUAGCUCCAUCCCGCCCAUAAGUCAUCCCCACCCCAUAGCUCAUCCCCGCCCAUAGCUCCAUCCCUGCCCCAGUAGCUCCAUCCCGCCCCCAUAGCUCCAGUCCCCACCCCAUAGCUCCAUCCCCGCCCACAGCUCAUCCCCACCCCAAGCUCCAUCCCCGCCCCAUAGCUCCAUCCCCCAAUAACUCCACCCCACCAUACGCUCCAUCUGCCCCCAUAUCAUCCGCCUACCUCAUC
Coturnix japonica (Japanese quail) is the source of this 1595-nucleotide long non-coding RNA. Lineage: Eukaryota; Metazoa; Chordata; Aves; Galliformes; Phasianidae. The record is from Ensembl.